This 292-nucleotide ribosomal RNA is filed under the name uncultured bacterium. Its description in RNAcentral is "partial 16S ribosomal RNA". It matches the Rfam family "Bacterial small subunit ribosomal RNA", at positions 775 to 1067 of the family's 1533-position model. The record is from RNAcentral.
GGAUUAGAUACCCUGGUAGUCCACGCUGUAAACGAUGAGAACUAGACGUUGGGUGGAUCACCGCUCAGUGUCGCAGCUAACGUAUUAAGUUCUCCGCCUGGGGAGUACGACCGCAAGGUUGAAACUCAAAGGAAUUGACGGGGGCCCGCACAAGCGGUGGAGCAUGUGGUUUAAUUCGAUGCAACGCGAAGAACCUUACCUGCCCUUGACAUCCUGGGAAAGUUCUAGAGAUAGAUCUGUGCCUUCGGGAACCCAGUGACAGGUGCUGCAUGGCUGUCGUCAGCUCGUGCUG